RNAcentral lists this ribosomal RNA (411 nucleotides) under uncultured bacterium. RNAcentral's name for it is "bacterial SSU rRNA". It matches the Rfam family "Bacterial small subunit ribosomal RNA", at positions 29 to 481 of the family's 1533-position model. The record is from RNAcentral.
AGCGAACGCUGGCGGCAUGCCUAACACAUGCAAGUCGAGCGCUCCCAGCAAUGGGGGAGCGGCGGACGGGUGAGUAACGCGUAGGAACGUAUCCUGAGGUGGGGGAUAACCCUGGGAAACUAGGGCUAAUACCGCAUGAUGGCGAGAGCCCAAAGAUUUAUCGCCUUGGGAGCGGCCUGCGUCUGAUUAGCUUGUUGGUGGGGUAACGGCCUACCAAGGCGAUGAUCCAGUAGCUGGUCUGAGAGGAUGAUCAGCCACACUGGGACUGAGACACGGCCCAGACUCCUACGGGAGGCAGCAGUGGGGAAUAUUGGACAAUGGGCGAAAGCCUGAUCCAGCAAUGCCGCGUGGAUGAAGAAGGUCUUCGGAUUGUAAAGUCCUUUCGGCGGGGACGGAUGAUGACGGUACCCG